AGCGAUGAAGUUUCUUCGGAAAUGGAUUAGCGGCGAACGGGUGAGGAACACGUGAAGAAUCUGCCCUCCACUUUGGGAUAACACCGGGAAACCGGUGCUAAUACCGAAUAUUGAAACAUAAGUGGCAUCACUGAGUUUUGAAAGAAUUUCGGUGGAGGAUGACUUCGCGGCCUAUCAGCUAGUUGGUGAGGUAAUGGCUCACCAAGGCAACGACGGGUAGCCGGCCUGAGAGGGCGACCGGCCACACUGGGACUGAGACACGGCCCAGACUCCUACGGGAGGCAGCAGUGGGGAAUAUUGGGCAAUGGAGGAAACUCUGACCCAGCGACGCCGCGUGCGGGAUGAAGGCCUUCGGGUUGUAAACCUCUUUCAGUAGGGAAGAAGCGAAAGUGACGGUACCUGCAGAAGAAGCACCGGCUAACUAUGUGCC
This 430-nucleotide ribosomal RNA is filed under the name uncultured Actinomycetes bacterium. Its description in RNAcentral is "bacterial SSU rRNA". It matches the Rfam family "Bacterial small subunit ribosomal RNA", at positions 65 to 509 of the family's 1533-position model. Lineage: Bacteria; Bacillati; Actinomycetota; Actinomycetes. The record is from RNAcentral.